AAAUUUAUUCUCGCCCAAACUCCAGGAGUUCAUUUGUGAGAUAUUUUAUGCUACUAUUCUUUCAGUGAUUCAUUUACCUUUAGUAAUAUUUGUAUUCAGAACUGUGCUGUUUAUAGCCAAUGGCACAGUGCUUGGCUGAAUUAUCUUUUUCUUUCACAGCAUAACAGAGACAAGCACAGUCAAAUUGAGGAUGGUCUUCAGGACACUGUUGGAAUCAGACUGUCUGGCGAACACAUUCAGAGCGGUUUCUCAAACCACAUGAAAUGUUCUGACUGCAACAUGCCUAUCGGGUCAUUAACAAGCGUCCUAGAAUGUGCUGUGCAUAUUUAAGCGAUUAGGCUCAUGCAUGAUGAGCAUGUUUCCAAUGUUGCUUUAGCUUUUAUCAAUUAUGCAGCACAAGACAGAUGCAUGUCUUCACCUUUGGUUUUUGUGUACCACUGCAGUGCACUUCCUUUUAGAGCAGUGUUUAUGUCUUUUUGCUUAGCUUAAACCUGAGGCUAGGGCAGGUUGUCCUAAUCUAGACAACCUGAAGGAUUUUAUCUAAGCCAAUCCAAAUUUGGCUCGACAAAUUUCUAGAGAAGUUAGUUUCACCCAGGACUCAGAUGUGCCAGGUUACUCCAUCACGGUGUUGGGUCAGUUGGUAGUAAUCCCAAUUGCCCUUUUCCUCACCCGACUGGAAUCUGUGUUCAGAAACUGCCGAGCAUUGAGAUUCUUGAGUCCUCAACCCAAAGAGGAGCUGAGUGUGAAACCAAUCAUGUGAGUCCAGGCAUCUCAAAGGUACCAACAGGAAGCCCCUCCACUAGAGGGUGUCCUAGGAAGUGCCAGAGAAGAACUCAAGUCAACCACCAAAUCCACACAUGUGUCCCCAUCACACAGAGAAUGCCAGAGAUUUCAGAGGAGGUUGAUCAUAAACGCUGCAUGUUUACUUAACCUACUAAAUAUAGCUUUGAAGUUAGAAAGCCUACAGGAUAGUUAGGGCUGUUACUGGGAAGAUAAGGCAAACACAUAAUAUACUGCUUUAUAUUGCUAGUUAUAGCAUAGGUGCUCAAUCAGGUGGUAGAGACACUAAGUGUGAUAAGAGCUUGGUAAGCAGGGGAAAUCCUUUGAGCUGGAUGCUGAACAAAGGCUUCAGGGGCUUAGACUGAGUCUUAAUGAAAAGAGAGAAUUCCUUCAGUAGGCAUGAAGUUACAAAGAAAGGGGGACUACAGGCUGAAAGUCAGUAUUUUUAAAGGGUCAGAAGUAUAAACGAUGCUGCUGCUGCUGCUAAGUCGUUUCAGUGGUGUCCGACUCUGUGCGACCACAUAGACGGCAGCCCACCAGAUUCUGCUGUCCCUGGGAUUCUCCAGGCAAGAACACUGGAGCGGAUUGCCAUUUCCUUCUCCAGUGUAUGAAAGUGAAAAGUGAAAGUGAAGUCGCUCAGCCGUGUCCAACUCUCCAGGACCCCAUGGACUGCAACCUACCAGGCUCCUCCACCCAUGGGAUUUUCCAGACCAUAGAAAUGAUGUUUGACAAAAAGCAAAUUCGAGCAGUUUUCUAAACCAAAUUCAAAAUGGGUCAUAAAGCAGCAGAGACAACUCUCAACAUCAACAAACAUUUGGCCCAGGAACUGCUAAUGAAUGUACAGUGCAGUGAUGGUUCAAGAAGUUUUGCAAAGGAGACGAGAGCCUUGAAGAUAAGCAGCACAGUGGCCAGCCAUCAGAAGUUGACAAUGACCAACUGAGAAGAUCAUCAAAGAUUAACCUCUUACAACUACACAAGAAGUCGCCAAAGAACUUAAUGUCAACCAUUCUAUGUUGUUUGGCAUUUGAAGUAAACCAGAAAGGUGAAAAAGUUUGAUAAGUGGGUGUCUAAUGGGCUGACCACAAAUAAAAAAAAAUUGUUGUUCUGAAGUGUUGUCUUAUUCUAUGCAACCUCAACAAACCAUUUCCCAAUUGGAUUGUGACAUACAACAAAAAGUGGAUUUUAUACAACAACUGGCAAGGACCAACUCAGUGGUAUGACUGAGAAGAAGCUCCAAAGCACUUCCCAAAGCCAAAUUUGCACAAAAAAAUGGGGCCAUGGUCACUGUUUCAUGAUCUGCUCCCACUCUGAUCCACUAUAGCUUUUUGAAUCCCAACAAAACCAUGACAUCUGAGAAGUAUGCUCAGCAAAUCGAUGAGAUGCACCAAAAACUACAAUGUCUGCAGCCAGCAUUGGUCAACAGAAAGGGCCCAAUUCUUCUCCACAACAAUACCCAAACACACAUCACACAACCAACGCUUCCAAAGUUGAACAAGUUGGUCUACAAAGUUCUGCCUCAUCUACCAUAUUCACCUGACCUCUCCCCAACUGAAGCAUCUUGACAACUUUUUGCAGGGAAAAUGCUUCCACAACCAGCAGGAGACAGAGAAUGCUUUCCAAGAGUUUGUCGAAUCCUGAAGCGCAGAUUUUUACGCUACAGGAGUAAACAAACUUAUUUCUCAUUGGCAAACAUGUGUUGAUUGAAAUGGCUCCUGUUUUGAUUAAUAAAGAUGUGUCUUAGUCUAGUUAUAAUGAUUUAAAAUUCAGACUGAAACCAUAAUUACUUCGGCACCAAUCUAAUAGUGGAAAGGUCCAAAGAAAGAGAAUUCAAGGCCAGGCACAUCUCUGGGAUUUUAGGGGGAAACAAAAAGAGGCCACUGAAUUCCAGCACACUAGCUGAAAAUACACAGGGCAAGGCAACUAAGAAAACCCCAAAUCCACAGCGCUGUUUUUUUCGAACCCCACUGUGCGUAAAGCAUUUUGUAAAGCCUCUGAAAACCCACUAUUACUCCAAUCUGUCCUAAAUAAAUAUAUUCAUUAAAAUGGGGUAAAAGUUCAAACCUCAAAUUUCCUCAGAAGUGACCUGUACAAACUACAGACUUAAACACACAAUGUUAGAGGAGAGAAGAGGAGUGGGUCUUUGACAUUUAGGAAAAUUACUGUUUUGCAAUAAAACCUCACAUUUAAAGUACUUGAAAAGACAAAUGAGCAAUUGGAAAGAAUCAGCAUCAAUACUAAAGAGAAUUAAGCCUAAACGUCCAAAUCAAAUACAUGUUCACACAGCCCUCUGGAAUAGCUACAUCAAUUCACAUGUUGGAUGUAUAUACUACUGGACUCCACGGUGAUGCUAUCAUGGCAACAGCUAUAAUAAUGGCCUAUAGGCAGUAAUUCAUGUAGUAGCUAAAGAGAUGAAAGGUGGGACGCAAACAAAAGUAUUUUAGAGUUACAAUAAAAGAAAAGCACAUUGCACUUCCAGCUCAAGGGGAAUGUUGAAUCAAACUUCAUUUUUAAGGCACCUUUGAGGCACAGUGUUGCACUGUUCAAGGGUGUUUAACAGACCACGUGGACCAGUCAGUUUGUUCUUCACAGUAGGCUCCUAUCACCAGAUGCAGAUAGAAGUAUUGCUCCAAGUAGGCCAGUCUGUCUAUAAUACCAGAUAUUUAUGAGUUUGUAAGAAGCCAAGGCUGCCUAAGAGAUUUUCCAAAAGACCCCGGGUAUACAAUCAGAAACUAAAGGUGGUAUAUAUAUAUAUAGCAAGGGACUCAGACCACAGCUGAAUUUCUUUCAUCUUUGGUAAUCUUCCCAUCAGAUGGUGACUACCACAGAUAUUUCACUGUGAAAUUCACAUUUCUAU
Molecule: long non-coding RNA, 3634 nt
Organism: Dama dama (fallow deer)
Lineage: Eukaryota; Metazoa; Chordata; Mammalia; Artiodactyla; Cervidae
Exons: 4
Source: RefSeq, a predicted model, not a curated record